AUGGUUGUCGGUCAGCUCGUGCCGUGAGGUGUCGGCUUUAAGUGCCAUAAACGAGCGCAACCCCCUGUUCUUUAGUUGCCAUCAGGUGAUGCUGGGCACUCUGGGGAAUACUGCCACCGUAAGGUGUGAGGAAGGUGGGGAUGACGUCAAAUCAGCACGGCCCUUACGUCCGGGGCUACACACGUGUUACAAUGGGGGGUACAGAGAGUCGGAUAUACGCAAGUAUGUUCUAAUCCUUAAAGCCUUCCUCAGUUCGGAUUGGGGUCUGCAACCCGACCCCAUGAAGCUGGAUUCGCUAGUAAUCGCGCAUCAGCCAUGGCGCGGUGAAUACGUUCCCGGGCCUUGUACACACCGCCCGUCAAGCCAUGAAAGCCGGGGGCGCUUGAAGUCCGUGACCGCAAGGAUCGGCCUAGAGCGAAACUGGUAAUUGGGGGUAAGUCGUAACAAGGUAACCGUA
Molecule: ribosomal RNA, 457 nt
Filed under: uncultured bacterium
Lineage: Bacteria
Description: bacterial SSU rRNA
Rfam family: Bacterial small subunit ribosomal RNA
Source: RNAcentral